AAGUCGUAACAAGGUAACCGUAGGUGAACCUGCGGUUGGAUCAUUAACAAAAUGAUAAGAGUCUAGCUCUCAAGGCUAGGCUUUUAUAAACACCUGUGAACUGUAAUUGUAUCUUGUGGGAAAGCGUGAAUAAAUUUUAUUUAUUUAUUUAUUUAUUAUUUAUUAUAUUCUUUCCCAUAAACAUAUUGAACUCUUAUAUACUCUUGAAUUAGUUUUAAAUUUUAAUUAAUUAUAAACAACUUUUGACAACGGAUCUCUAGGCUCUC
This 266-nucleotide unclassified non-coding RNA is filed under the name fungal sp. RNAcentral describes it as "partial internal transcribed spacer region". The stretch from base 1 to 46 matches the Rfam family "Eukaryotic small subunit ribosomal RNA", at positions 1786 to 1831 of the family's 1831-position model. The record is from RNAcentral. Lineage: Eukaryota; Fungi.